RNA transcript from Parus major (Great Tit), 2636 nucleotides. It is a transcript of the gene named solute carrier family 38 member 8, with no coding region annotated. The transcript has 9 exons. The record is from RefSeq and is a predicted model, not a curated record. Lineage: Eukaryota; Metazoa; Chordata; Aves; Passeriformes; Paridae.
GCCGGGACGCGCCGCGAUGCAGCGGGCGGCGGGCGAGGGCCGGCCCCUGCUGCCGGCGGCGGGGCGCUCCGCCGGGCUCUCCUCGCCCGGGCUCUCCUCAGCCGGCGCCGUCUUCAUCCUGCUCAAGUCUGCGCUGGGCGCGGGGCUGCUGAGCUUCCCCUGGGCCUUCGGCAGGGCCGGCGGGGCCGUCCCCGCCCUCCUGGUGGAGCUGGGCUCGCUGGUGUUCCUGGUGAGCGGGCUGGCGGUGCUGGGCUAUGCCGCGGCCCUCAGCGCCCAGCCCACCUACCAGGCUGUGGUCCGGGCUGUGUGCGGGGCUGCCGUGGGGAAGCUCUGUGAGGUCUGCUUCCUCCUCAACCUCUUCAUGAUCUCCGUGGCUCUCCUCAGGGUGGUGGGUGACCAGCUGGAGAAACUGUGUGACUCCCUGUACCCCAAUGGGACACUGAAUGGGGUCCCCCAGCUGCCCCCCUGGUAUGUGGACCAGCGCUUCACCCUCUCAGCUCUCUGUGUCCUCGUCAUCUUCCCGCUCUCUGUCCCCAGGGAGAUCGGCUUCCAGAAGUACUCCAGCAUCCUGGGCACACUGGCUGCCUGCUACCUCACUCUGGUCAUCAUCCUGAAGUACUACCUGCAGGCAGAGAGCCUGCGUUUGACUGAGCCCCCCCAGCCCUCCAGGUUCUCCUCCUGGACCUCCAUCUUCAGUGUCAUUCCCACCAUCUGCUUUGGCUUCCAGUGCCACGAGGCAUGUGUGGCCAUCUACAGCAGCAUGCGCAACCAGAGCUUCUCCCACUGGGUCACCGUCUCUGUGCUCUCCAUGCUCAUCUGCCUGCUCAUCUACUCCCUCACUGGUAACCCCAGCACCAAACCCUUCACUUCUUGCCCUGGGGGUCUCCUCUCCCCUCGGCUCAUCCAUCCUUCUCAGAAUUCCUCUGUCCUGCUCACUGCAUGGCCACCCACCCCCACCUCCCUGUCAGCAGGGCUCUAUGGCUACCUGACCUUUGGUGAGGCUGUGGCAUCCGAUGUCCUGAUGUCCUACCCAGGGAAUGACCUGGUUGUCAUUGUGGCUCGCCUGCUCUUUGGCGUCUCCAUUGUCACCAUUUACCCCAUUGUGGUGCUGCUGGGCAGAUCCGUGGUGAAGGACUUGUGGGCAGCCCCGAAGCGCGGGGCCGUGGCGGAGUGUGAGGCACGCGAGCGGCGCAGCCGGGUGGCACUGACGGUCACCUGGAUGGCUGCCACGCUGGCCAUCGCCCUCUUCGUCCCCGACAUCGGCAAAGUCAUCGAACUCAUCGGGGGCAUCAGCGCCUUCUUCAUCUUCAUCUUCCCAGGGCUGUGCCUCGUGUGCAUGACUGGGACCCACAGCCUUGGGCCACGCAAAAAGUGAGUGUGUGCGUUCAGCAGCGGUGGGGGCGAGGGAAGGGGCAGGGUGUGGGAUCCCAUGGGCCAUGGCCCAGGCAGAUCCCGGGGGGUCACCCUGGUCAAGGUGGGAACCCUGUAAGGAAGGGGAUGUGGGUGUGGAGGGAAGUGCUCUACUGGGGCUAUACCAGGGCUGUGUCCAGGCAUCAAGGAGGUGCCCAGGUACCAGAGUGACUUUAGGGACAGAAGAGCUGUGGGGUUUGGUGGCACUGGGAGGUGUCCCAGUGUGGGCUGGGGUGGAGGUCAGAGGGGCAGGGUGCCCCAAGACAGGAGGCCAUCAGGAGUUUGGCACCUGUUUUGCCAGGGUGGUGUGUCCUAUCACCACUCCUGUCUAGAGGGGCCAGGGCACAGCUGCAGCCCAUGUCAGGGGGACCUGACAUGGUGCUGGUGAAAGUUUUGGGAUAAGUGUGUGCUUAAGCAUGUCUGUGGUGCCCCUGGGGGAGCAGCAGAGUCUGAGUGAGGAUGGAGGUUGUGUGGUGGGUGGAAGAAGCACCCCAGGACAUUGGGAUCUUGGUUAGAAGGGUGCUCUGGGGGGGCCCAUGGACAUGUGGGGAGGAGUGAGGGUGCUGCAAAGGGUGCCAGAGUGCAGGAGGGGCCAAGGCAGAAGGUUAGCAGGGGCACCCAGGUGGGUGACAAAGGCUUGGAGAGGUCCCCUGGGGAGACCUGCCAGAGUAUGAGCCUGUCAUGAGAAGAGGGGACAACACGAGCUGGGGCGAUGGAGACUGCAAGGGCGCAGUCCCAGCCUGCCUGGGACAGUUCGGGAAGGAUCACGGUGCUGAGGACCCUGUGACAGAGCAGCAGCUGGGUUUGGGUGGAAACUGGGGUUGGCCCAGAGGGGCUGCUGGGCUCUUCAGCCAUCGACUGGGAAUGAUGCAGAGCAGCAAGGCAGAGGAAGCUGGACCCUGCAGAGAGCUCCAGAGGAGCUGGGGUACAGAGGUGGCCCGCUACUGAGGCCAGCUCUACCCCGGCAGCCUCUGCUGUGUCGCUGCAGGGCUGCUCUCAUCGCCUGGGGCGUUCUCUCCGUUCUGGGCGGUGCCUUCGUGUGCGGGCAGAGCGCUGCCCUGGCCGUGCUGGGGCUGCUGCGCUGAGCGACCACAGAGCCCGCCGAGACCCCCCCGCCAUCCUCCCGGACACACACCCCCAACACAGCCACACCGCUGGAUCCCAUGGUGGUUUUAUUUGGAGUCGCCGUCCCAUUGUACAGUGGCUAAUAAAGACAGGAGAGGGUA